Molecule: long non-coding RNA, 1117 nt
Organism: Passer domesticus (house sparrow)
Lineage: Eukaryota; Metazoa; Chordata; Aves; Passeriformes; Passeridae
Exons: 4
Source: RefSeq, a predicted model, not a curated record
GAACCUUGCACUUGCCCUCCUUAGACUUCAUACAGUUCUUGCUGGCCCACUCUUCCUGCUUGUCUCUGAAUCCGACAAAGGGCUCUCCCUUCUGACAAUUCCACCUCAUCAUCCAGUGUGGCAUCAUCAGCAAACUUGCAGUCCUACCUGGAACAAACUCAGAGCCUUCUGGUUCAUAAAAGUGCUCUGCAGUCAAAGGAUGACCUUGUAACUGAAUACAGCUACUCCAAAGACAGGAUCAGUUCAAAUGUUCCCACAAUGGGACAGCCUAGAAGACAAACUCCUUUGGAAAGCUCCAUGUAGCUGUGGACAGAAAAGCUUUUCAAAGGUUUCUAAGGCUCUAACGCAGUCUUCCUUCUUCAUUACUAUCCUGAAAGCAUCAAGGAUACGGGAAUUACCUGGUGGAAAUUCUAGUUCUGCGGUGUUGAAACUCACAUUUGUACAAGGCUGAUCCAUGUGAGCCGUGACAGUGAACAAGAUAGACUGUCAGACUGAUUCUUGAUGACAUGCAAACAAUUUGUUCUGCUAAAACUUAUUUAAAAAGGUGCCAAGUGAAUGAACACAACUGCUGUAAGCCCCACCUUAAAGUAAAAGGGAGAGGCCGAUGGACAAAGCACUUCUUUCUGUGUCAGCAGGAAGAUGUUUGCAAACAGGGAAAGAGCUGAGUGCUGUCAGAAGCAAAAUAUAUUCUUCACAAAGUAGCUUUGCUCAGUUGACCGAGUUUGUUCUGAUGAUAUAAUAAAUCCAUCUUUUAAAUGUACUGCUAAACCUCUGCAGCCACAGAAAGCAAAGGGCUAAUGCGGUGCAAACAGUCUCCAAAAUGACACUAUCCCUAUAAAAAAAAAUUAAACAAGCAACAGAAAACACCACCAACUAACAAGCAAGGAAAUAGAUUUGAACUGGUAAUGAUUUCAUCCCAGAUUUCUAGAAUACACUUGAUGCUAACUACAAUAGUAUAGUGAGUAUCAGAUCUAGCAUAAGGUUGGACCAGAUGAAAUGUGUACUCCUGAAUGUUGUUACAUGGCAUAGUAGUGAUAUUGUUGCUCAGAAUCAGUGUCAGAAUAUGAAACAAGAGUACCACAGUCCAAAUAAAUAAAUAAAUAUAGGAAAAAGAAAA